Molecule: transfer RNA, 64 nt
Filed under: Psylliodes chlorophana
Lineage: Eukaryota; Metazoa; Arthropoda; Insecta; Coleoptera; Chrysomelidae
Also listed under: 1 other name
Description: tRNA-Tyr
Rfam family: tRNA
About the family: Transfer RNA (tRNA) molecules are approximately 80 nucleotides in length. Their secondary structure includes four short double-helical elements and three loops (D, anti-codon, and T loops). Further hydrogen bonds mediate the characteristic L-shaped molecular structure. tRNAs have two regions of fundamental functional importance: the anti-codon, which is responsible for specific mRNA codon recognition, and the 3' end, to which the tRNAs corresponding amino acid is attached (by aminoacyl-tRNA synthetases). tRNAs cope with the degeneracy of the genetic code in two manners: having more than one tRNA (with a specific anti-codon) for a particular amino acid; and 'wobble' base-pairing, i.e. permitting non-standard base-pairing at the 3rd anti-codon position.
Source: RNAcentral
GGUAAAAUGGCUGAGGUAUAAGCGAUAAACUGUAAAUUUAUCUACGAAUUUAAUUCUUUUAUCA